This 76-nucleotide transfer RNA is filed under the name Rickettsiales bacterium. RNAcentral's name for it is "tRNA-Glu". It matches the Rfam family "tRNA". From Rfam's summary of the family: Transfer RNA (tRNA) molecules are approximately 80 nucleotides in length. Their secondary structure includes four short double-helical elements and three loops (D, anti-codon, and T loops). Lineage: Bacteria; Pseudomonadati; Pseudomonadota; Alphaproteobacteria; Rickettsiales. The record is from RNAcentral.
GCUCCUAUCGUCUAGAGGCCUAGGACUCAGGAUUCUCAUUCCUGCAACACCGGUUCGAAUCCGGUUAGGAGUACCA